Molecule: ribosomal RNA, 253 nt
Filed under: uncultured bacterium
Lineage: Bacteria
Description: partial 16S ribosomal RNA
Rfam family: Bacterial small subunit ribosomal RNA
Source: RNAcentral
UACAGAGGGGGCAAGCGUUGUCCGGAAUUACUGGGCGUACAGCGCGCGCAGGCGGUUGCCGACGUGCCGUGUGACAAGCGGGGGCUCAACCCCCGAGGGCCACGGUAAACGGGGCGACUGGAGGACGGGAGAGGGAUGUGGAAUGCCCGGUGGAGCGGUGAAAUGCAUUGAGAUCGGAAAGAACACCAACGGCGAAAGCACUCUGCUGGGCCGACACUGACACUGAGAGACGAAAGCUAGGGGAGCAAAUGGG